This 2266-nucleotide long non-coding RNA is filed under the name Linum usitatissimum (flax). RNAcentral describes it as "long non-coding RNA (LUSI_LNC004498)". The record is from RNAcentral. Lineage: Eukaryota; Viridiplantae; Streptophyta; Magnoliopsida; Malpighiales; Linaceae.
AAGAUAAGAAAGUCGAGUAGAAAUAUAUCUUCUGAAUCUUAGAGUAAAAGGAGGUGGGAAUCAAACAAAGGUAGAUAUCUAAUAAUCAAUUUAACUGUCAAAUAAAGGGGUAAGCCCAAGAAAAGUCUUCCUCCCGUUGACAAAUCUCUGCAUCUCAAUUUGAUUCCCAUUUUCCUCUUCUUUCAUCCCGGCACUUGUCGCCUCUGAUUAUGCUCCCUUUCCUCGACGUCGGAGUGUCCGGACACCCGCCGGAGGAAGACGAUGAGCGCCGAUUACCUUCGCCGGAAACAGAGACAUGCAGGGAGGCGGUGGAAGACGAUGACGACUGCCGGCUCUUCUUCCCGGAUGAAUUCCUCUGGUCGUUGAAGGUUGUAGUGGUGGAGCUCAUGAACACAGUGGAUGUACGGAUAUUCUUCUUUGACCACAAUCUGAGAGUUCAUAGUCACUUCAUUGCGUUGCUUGGUUGAACCAAUAUGCUCAGCAACAUCUUCCACUUUGUCAGGUAACAUCUUACAGGGAAUGGGAUCCAAAGCUGCUUUGCAUUUCUUUCUGUGCUUAGAAACUGAACUUUUCCUUUCUUUGAUGGUAUCUUGAACAGAACUCUUGGAUUCUCUUGUAGGACGACCCCUUUUACUACCACUAGCUUUCUCUGAACCUUCUUUGUACCCCAUUUUAGUAGAGUUCUUCCCCAUUUGUCCUGCACUUUUUACCUUAGAUCCACCACAAAACCCACCUCCAUUCUUCUUGUUAAUUUCCGUCCAAACCACCGGACCAACGCAAACUCCAUCGCUUCGUUUCUGACAAACACGUAUGUCCAUCUCUCGUUUACCUUUAUCAGGUAACUGCUUACAGGAAAUGGGAUUCAAAGCUGCUUCACAUUUCUGUCUGUCCUUAGCUUUGAAGUUUCUCUCUUUGGUGCCUUGAAAGUUCCUGUCUUUUCCACCUUUGCGAACUCGGCCUCCAUUUGGACAACAAUCAAGAAAGGAUGAAGUCCCUUGUGGUUUCAUACUAGCUAGGAACAUCUCAUAUUGAUUACCAGAACACUCAACAAGGCUACGAACAUUUCCAUCAUCAUCAGAGGAAAUCUCAAUAACUGAUUGUUUGGCACUAACAUGAAGCUUGGUUGCAUCAUCUUCAUGAUGUUGUACAUAAAGAUCGGGCCUUUCCCUAACCCAGUGACCCUUUCUCUUGAGAACCCAAGGGUCUUCUGCUUCUAGCAUUAAUCCUACAUCUUUUCCUGUUGAACUUCGAAACGACAUUCUGCCUCGACUAUAUCUAGGGUAUUUUCUCAUUUCUGAUAUCUAGGGAAUAAACUAGUGGAUGACGAAAUGAAGGAACACAGAGCUGUCCCGAGAGAAAUAGAAACUAGAAAAAGGAUAAAAACAUUGGCAACUCACUGCAUUUUCAUUGGUUGGCUAGGGAUCUGAAAACUCUGGCUGAUGCACACAGAGGACAAAUUGACACCACCGUUGCAAUUAACAGAAUUCUUCUUAUUUUGUUGCUGAAUAUGACCGUUGGUAAUGAAGGGAGAGAUGAUGAUCUUUACCUGAUCUUCCUUCUACAUUCUCUCAAUUUAUUUCUUCCAUCAACAAAAGAAGUGGUGCAGAACAUGAUUCUGUAGAUUGAUCUAUGAGCAGCCUAUAAAAGGCUUGACUGUAGAUCACAGAAUGAAUUUGGAAUUUCUACUUUUAUUUCUUUUGAUGCACUUAAUUUUGUGAGCUUUUGUUGGUAAUUACUUUGGAGAGCUUUCCUUAUCACAUUGAUUGUUGUGAUGAUCGAGAAAUCGCUUCAAAGGCAGUGAUUUCUUCACGGCCACUGUUCUUUGUAUAUUUGUUAUAUUUUCAGUUUCCAGUUAAUUAUUAGUUGCUGAACUAACAUGAGAUUGAUUCAGGGAAACGAAUGGGAAACAGAUGCGAACACUAAACAGCCUUAUUUUGGUGGCUUCUUCCAAUGGUCUGCCGGCCGGCCUUGCUUAGUUGGAAUUCGAAUUUCCAGUUUCUUCUAUAUAUGGCUAAUGGCUUUCAGUGUCAUUGUCCAUACAGAAAGAAACAACAAUGAGACAAUUGAAGGAAACAAGAGAAUAAUUCUGAAAUUUUGAAGGCUGCCAUGAAAGAAACAGCUCUCCACAAAGAUUCCAGGAAUUAUGUCUUGGUAUUACAACAUCUAGUGCUAGGAAGAACCUUGUAAUAUAGUAACAAUAAUCUAUGAUUUUGAAUCCACAAUAACUCCACCGUACAUACUUUUUCUUUGAAGUGACCGGUUGAUA